This 64-nucleotide transfer RNA is filed under the name Ochthebius glaber. RNAcentral describes it as "tRNA-Phe". Lineage: Eukaryota; Metazoa; Arthropoda; Insecta; Coleoptera; Hydraenidae. The record is from RNAcentral.
AUUUAAGUAGCUUAUAUAGAGCAUGAUAUUGAAGCUAUCAGGGAAAUAUUUAUAUUCUUAAAUA